CAUUGCAGUCGAACGAAGGCUUCGGCCUUAGUGGCGCACGGGUGCGUAACGCGUGGGAAUCUGCCCUCAGGUUCGGAAUAACAGCGAGAAAUUGCUGCUAAUACCGGAUGAUAUCGCGAGAUCAAAGAUUUAUCGCCUGAGGAUGAGCCCGCGUAGGAUUAGCUAGUUGGUGUGGUAAAGGCGCACCAAGGCGACGAUCCUUAGCUGGUCUGAGAGGAUGAUCAGCCACACUGGGACUGAGACACGGCCCAGACUCCUACGGGAGGCAGCAGUGGGGAAUAUUGGACAAUGGGCGAAAGCCUGAUCCAGCAAUGCCGCGUGAGUGAUGAAGGCCUUAGGGUUGUAAAGCUCUUUUACCCGGGAUGAUAAUGACAGUACCGGGAGAAUAAGCUCCGGCUAACUCCGUGCCAGCAGCCGCGGUAAUACGGAGGGAGCUAGCGUUAUUCGGAAUUACUGGGCGUAAAGCGCACGUAGGCGGCUUUGUAAGUUAGAGGUGAAAGCCUGGAGCUCAACUCCAGAAUUGCCUUUAAGACUGCAUCGCUUGAAUCCAGGAUAGGUGAGUGGAAAUUCCGAGUGUAGAGGUGAAAUUCGUAGAUAUUCGGAAGAACACCAGUGG
This 616-nucleotide ribosomal RNA is filed under the name bacterium enrichment culture clone PCE10_F4. RNAcentral describes it as "bacterial SSU rRNA". It matches the Rfam family "Bacterial small subunit ribosomal RNA", at positions 54 to 715 of the family's 1533-position model. The record is from RNAcentral.